RNAcentral lists this ribosomal RNA (268 nucleotides) under uncultured bacterium. Its description in RNAcentral is "partial 16S ribosomal RNA". It matches the Rfam family "Bacterial small subunit ribosomal RNA", at positions 1115 to 1382 of the family's 1533-position model. The record is from RNAcentral.
GUGUUUCCCCUUUUGGGAUUACCCUCUAAGAAGACUGCCUCGGAUAACGGGGAGGAAGGUGGGGAUGACGGUCAAGUCCGCAUGCUCCUUACGUCUAGGGCUACACACGUCCUACAAUGGGGUCGACAAUGGGAUGCAAUAUCGCAAGAUGGAGCCAAUCCCCAAACGGCCUCUCAGUUCGGAUUGUAGUCUGCAACUCGACUACAUGAAGUUGGAAUCGCUAGUAAUGGCAGAUCAGCAUGCUGCCGUGAAUACGUUCCCGGGUCUU